RNAcentral lists this ribosomal RNA (468 nucleotides) under uncultured bacterium. RNAcentral's name for it is "partial 16S ribosomal RNA". It matches the Rfam family "Bacterial small subunit ribosomal RNA", at positions 28 to 507 of the family's 1533-position model. The record is from RNAcentral.
GACGAACGCUGGCGGCGUGCUUAACACAUGCAAGUCGAACGGAAAGGCCCUGCUUUUGUGGGGUGCUCGAGUGGCGAACGGGUGAGUAACACGUGAGUAACCUGCCCUUGACUUUGGGAUAACUUCACGAAACUGGGGCUAAUACCGGAUAGGAUCUCCUGCUGCAUGGUGGGGGUUGGAAAGUUUCGGCGGUUGGGGAUGGACUCGCGGCUUAUCAGCUUGUUGGUGGGGUAGUGGCUUACCAAGGCUUUGACGGGUAGCCGGCCUGGGAGGGUGGACGGCCACAUGGGGCCUACGGUACGGCCCAGACUCCUACGGGAGGCAGCAGUGGGGAAUAUUGCACAAUGGGCGGAAGCCUGAUGCAGCAACGCCGCGUGCGGGAUGACGGCCUUCGGGUUGUAAACCGCUUUCGCCUGUGACGAAGCGUGAGUGACGGUAAUGAGUAAAGAAGCACCGGCUAACUACGUG